RNAcentral lists this ribosomal RNA (497 nucleotides) under uncultured bacterium. RNAcentral describes it as "partial 16S ribosomal RNA". It matches the Rfam family "Bacterial small subunit ribosomal RNA", at positions 28 to 507 of the family's 1533-position model. The record is from RNAcentral.
GAUGAACGCUGGCGGCGUGCCUAAUACAUGCAAGUCGAGCGAACGGACGAGAAGCUUGCUUCUCUGAUGUUAGCGGCGGACGGGUGAGUAACACGUGGAUAACCUACCUAUAAGACUGGGAUAACUUCGGGAAACGGUAGCUAACACCGGAUAAUAUUUUGAACCGCAUGGGUCAAAAGUGAAAGACGGUCUUGCUGUCACGUAUAGAUGGAUCCGCGCUGCAUUAGCUAGUUGGUAAGGUAACGGCCUACCAAGGCAACGAUGCAUAGCCGACCUGAGAGGGUGAUCGGCCGCACUGGAACUGGAACGCGGUCCAGGCUCCUACGGGAGGCAGCAGAAGGGAAUCGUACGCAAUGGGCGAAAGCCUGACGGAACAACGCCACGUGAGUUAUGGAGGUCUUCGGAUCGUAAAGCUCUGUUACUAGGGAAGAACAUAUGUGUAAGUAACUGUGCACAUCUUGACGGUACCUAAUCAGAAAGCCACGGCUAACUACGUG